Molecule: non-coding RNA, 96 nt
Organism: Mycena rebaudengoi
Lineage: Eukaryota; Fungi; Basidiomycota; Agaricomycetes; Agaricales; Mycenaceae
Source: the annotation of a GenBank genome assembly
GUCUUCCUAGAGUAAUGCAACUCGCUCCCACCUGUUAUUUGGGUCAUAAUACUCGCAAGCACGGGAGAGCCGGUGGUUCGAAUCCACCCGAAGACA